UGAAAGGUAAGCUAUAUUUAAGCUAAUGGGCCCAUAACCCAAUGAAAGAUUUAUUACUCCUAUCGA
Molecule: transfer RNA, 66 nt
Filed under: Hutchinsoniella macracantha
Lineage: Eukaryota; Metazoa; Arthropoda; Cephalocarida; Brachypoda; Hutchinsoniellidae
Description: tRNA-Met
Source: RNAcentral